GACGAACGCUGGCGGCGUGCUUAACACAUGCAAGUCGAACGGAAAGGCCCUGCUUUUGUGGGGUGCUCGAGUGGCGAACGGGUGAGUAACACGUGAGUAACCUGCCCUUGACUUUGGGAUAACUUCAGGAAACUGGGGCUAAUACCGGAUAGGAGCUCCUGCUGCAUGGUGGGGGUUGGAAAGUUUCGGCGGUUGGGGAUGGACUCGCGGCUUAUCAGCUUGUUGGUGGGGUAGUGGCUUACCAAGGCUUUGACGGGUAGCCGGCCUGAGAGGGUGAGCGGCCACAUUGGGACUGAGAUACGGCGCAGACGCGGACGGGAGGGAGCAGUGGGGAAUAGUGCGCAGUGGGCGGAAGCCGGAAGCAGCAACGCCGCGUGCGGGAUGACGGCCUUCGGGUUGUGAACCGCUUUCGCCUGUGACGAAGCGGGAGUGACGGUAAUGGGUAAAGAAGCACCGGCUAACUACGUG
RNAcentral lists this ribosomal RNA (468 nucleotides) under uncultured bacterium. RNAcentral describes it as "partial 16S ribosomal RNA". It matches the Rfam family "Bacterial small subunit ribosomal RNA", at positions 28 to 507 of the family's 1533-position model. The record is from RNAcentral.